UACGGAGGAUGCGAGCGUUAUCCGGAUUUAUUGGGUUUAAAGGGAGCGUAGGCGGGAGCUUAAGUCAGCGGUUAAAUCGUACGGCUCAACCGUGCCUUGCCGUUGAAACCGGGUUUCUUGAGAGUGCAAGAGGCGGAUGGAAUUCAUGGUGUAGCGGUGAAAUGCUUAGAUAUCAUGAAGAACUCCGAUUGCGAAGGCAGUCCGCUGGGGCACGUCUGACGCUGAGGCUCGAAAGUGCGGGUAUCAAACA
Molecule: ribosomal RNA, 250 nt
Filed under: uncultured prokaryote
Description: partial 16S ribosomal RNA
Rfam family: Bacterial small subunit ribosomal RNA
Source: RNAcentral